This 497-nucleotide ribosomal RNA is filed under the name uncultured bacterium. Its description in RNAcentral is "partial 16S ribosomal RNA". It matches the Rfam family "Bacterial small subunit ribosomal RNA", at positions 28 to 507 of the family's 1533-position model. The record is from RNAcentral.
GAUGAACGCUGGCGGCGUGCCUAAUACAUGCAAGUCGAGCGAACGGACGAGAAGCUUGCUUUUCUGAUGUUAGCGGCGGACGGGUGAGUAACACGUGGAUAACCUACCUAUAAGACUGGGAUAACUUCAGGAAACCGGAGCUAAUACCGGAUAAUAUUUUGAACCGCAUGGUUCAAAAGUGAAAGACGGUCUUGCUGUCACUUAUAGAUGGAUCCGCGCUGCAUUAGCUAGUUGGUAAGGUAACGGCUUACCAAGGCAACGAUGCAUAGCCGACCUGAGAGGGUGAUCGGCCACACUGGAACUGAGACACGGUCCAGACUCCUACGGGAGGCAGCAGUAGGGAAUCUUCCGCAAUGGGCGAAGGCCUGACGGAGCAACGCCGCGUGAGUGAUGAAGGUCUUCGGAUCGUAAAACUCUGUUAUUAGGGAAGAACAUAUGUGUAAGUAACUGUGCACAUCUUGACGGUACCUAAUCAGAAAGCCACGGCUAACUACGUG